UACGAGAGGGGCAAGCGUUAUUCAGAAUGAUUGGGCGUAAAGAGCACGUAGACGGUUUUUUUAUUUUAUAUUUGAAAACUCAAAGCUUAACUUUGAGAUGAAAUAUCUUAAAAUAUAAAACUUGAGUAAGUGAGAGGAGAAUGGAAUUUCUGGAGGAGAGGUAAAAUUUGUUGAUUUCAGGAGGAACACCAAAAGUGAAAACAGUUCUCUGGCACUUCACUGACGUUGAGGUGCGAAAGCGUGGGGAUCAAAAGGG
This 256-nucleotide ribosomal RNA is filed under the name uncultured bacterium. Its description in RNAcentral is "partial 16S ribosomal RNA". It matches the Rfam family "Bacterial small subunit ribosomal RNA", at positions 524 to 776 of the family's 1533-position model. The record is from RNAcentral.